GACAGAGGGUGCAAACGUUGUUCGGAAUUACUGGGCGUAAAGCGUGUGUAGGCGGCUUUGCGAGUCGGAUGUGAAAGCCCCGGGCUCAACCCGGGAAGUGCACUCGAUACUGCAGAGCUUGAGUGUCGGAGAGGUUGGUGGAAUUCUCGGUGUAGAGGUGAAAUUCGUAGAUAUCGAGAGGAACACCGGCGGCGAAGGCGGCCAACUGGACGAACACUGACGCUGAGACACGAAAGCGUGGGGAGCAAACAGG
This 253-nucleotide ribosomal RNA is filed under the name uncultured bacterium. RNAcentral's name for it is "partial 16S ribosomal RNA". It matches the Rfam family "Bacterial small subunit ribosomal RNA", at positions 524 to 776 of the family's 1533-position model. The record is from RNAcentral.